UGUAUAUAUUACCGGGGUUUUCUCAAAGCUGCGGGACGAGUUACGCGCCGAAAUUUGGCGGAAGAAUAAUAAACCCGAAACAGAAUAUUAAUAGAAUAGCUCCGCCCCGAGGCACUCCUCUCAGCUAUUCUAGCUGUAGAGGAGUGCCUUGGAGCUGAGCACCCGUGGCACUAAUUAGUGUAUACUAACACAAUUAAGUUCUGUUUUGCAGAGACGGUUGCCUGCUUUCAUCCUGUCCUCUCUUUCAAUACUAUACUGUAUGAUGUCUCACUCGCUGUUUAUUUGUAGUUUCAGAUGAAUGCUCUGACCACCUCUCUUCUGAAAGACCCCUGAGCCCCGACUCCUCUAAUAUUGCCACAUCAACUUCUGCGCCACAUGUCCCACAUAAAGGACAAAAAAGAGCCCGAGAAGAAGUGGAUGACGUUGCAGGUCCUGACAAAAGUGGAGAUGGGAGCUCAGAAACGGAUGAUCAGAAGACAAAGAAGAAGAAAAGGAAAGGAAAGGAAAGGAAAAGAGCCACCCCAAGUGAGACGACCAUGUACUGAAACCGAAAAGAUUUCAGUAAAAAAGCACCUCGGAAGGUUUAUGGCAGAGAGACGAGUAACUGGCAAACAAGAUUGUGUACGGGCACUACAGGCAGAGAAAACCCUUGGUGGAAGAACCUGGAAGAACGUAAAGGAUUACGUUUACAACAGAAUUGUGAUGUUAAAUAGGA
Long non-coding RNA from Seriola aureovittata, 715 nucleotides. RefSeq lists it as uncharacterized. The record is from RefSeq and is a predicted model, not a curated record. The transcript is spliced from 5 exons. Lineage: Eukaryota; Metazoa; Chordata; Actinopteri; Carangiformes; Carangidae.